RNAcentral lists this long non-coding RNA (1601 nucleotides) under Pan troglodytes (chimpanzee). RNAcentral describes it as "lncRNA (ENSPTRG00000054098.1)". The stretch from base 1297 to 1404 matches the Rfam family "U2 spliceosomal RNA". The record is from RNAcentral. Lineage: Eukaryota; Metazoa; Chordata; Mammalia; Primates; Hominidae.
AGAAAUCUAAUUCAAUGCUCUACUUGAAAAUCUCUGAUCAUGCUUUUGGAUCAGAGCUUUUCUCAAAUGUUACAUCUUUUCUAGGAUUGUAUUUAUUUGCAAAAGCAUUUCCUUAGAAGUUUUAAAACUGUUUAAUAUAUUCAUUCUUUGUUUUUAUAGGCAUACUGAGUAAAGCCCAUAUUUUCAAUUUCAUAUACAUGUCUUCCAGGAAAAAAAUUGUUUUCAGCAUGGGACACAUCUUCUGUAAUGACUCCUUGUCAAAUAUGUACUCUUCAAAAUAAAGUACAAAAAGUUGUGAGUUUUCCAAUCUUAGAGGAAAAGAAUAGAGGAAAUGGUGCAAUUCACACACCUGCAGAAACUCCAGGGGUGGUUGAGCAUGUGACGGAUGAUUGAACCAAAGGUUUCCUUUCAAGGGUAGAAGUUUAAAAUAUGGAGAAGAUCAGUGAAAGAGCAGAGCAUAGACGUAUGCACUUGGAAGAAGCCCAAACAAUCCACCAGCAACUCAUGAGCUAGCAGCAGAAAAGAUGACAGAGCUGGGGCUGGCAGAGCGAGGAAUGAAAGAGAGAGAACAGAUCAGUGUUCAGUUUGAAAGAGCCAUAAUUCAGCAGUCUUUCUACAUUACCUCUCAGAAGAAGGAGCCUGCGUGUCUAAAGAGAGAAGUGAAGUUUAAGUACUGGAAAAAAGGAAAGUCUUCAGCCUUGGGAAUGUAAUAACUUGGGGUCAGCUGAGAACCCUGAGGAGUACUGACCCAAUCAGCUGCUGGGAGAAGCAACAUAACUGUUCUGCUGGAGGGAGAAACAAAUUCUAAUCAGAUGUGAGCCAACCAUCCAGGGAGCUUCUGUUGUCAUGAGAAAAGGAAGUGCUCUUCCUUUCAACUGGAAAACUAGAAUGUGCCACUUUUUUUUUUGUUAAUGCUCCCUCUUUUCUUUUUUUAUUAGCUUUGUAAUAAAAAUUUAAUUUAAAAGUUGAUAUGCAAACAAGAAGUGUGUAACAAUCUGAAUAUUUAACAUUGAUAGAUUUAUCUAUUUUAGAAAAUUAAAGUGAAUAUAUCUGAGUUUUAGAGUUUAAUGUUUACUGCACACAGGAUGAAACAGAAACUAAACUUUGUUACAUUUUAAAAAAAUUCUUUAACUUAUUCAGUUGGAUUUACUGUUUGUAAAGUGAAAAGAAACUCUUUUUCUCCAAAAUUUUUGUCCUUUACUGAGUGACUUUAGAAAAUUGAUUUCACUAUUCCAAGUUUUAGUUUUUUAUUCAGAAAUUAAGAAAUAUGUCAGUAUGUGUCUAUUAUUACUGUAGAUCACUUCUUGGCCUUUUGGCUAAGAUCAAGUGUAUUAUUAUUAUAGAAUGGGUUCUCAGAUAAAGAAAAAAACUAAGAAAUUUCUCAGAUUUUUGGGAGUAUUUCAUUAUAAAAACAAAAACUAUAUAAGAUUAAAUUGAUAUUACCUUUUCGAUGGACUCACUUGAAAAAGAGUUACAAGAUGCAAUUUGAGGAGUUUUACGGGCCAAUGUUAAGGCUAGGCGUACAUUUUCUAUUUUGAAAUCUCUGGUAUCUUUGUGGUACCCAGAAUAUGUAGUGAGGUAAAUAGAUAUCACCUUAAGAA